Molecule: long non-coding RNA, 2583 nt
Organism: Neofelis nebulosa (Clouded leopard)
Lineage: Eukaryota; Metazoa; Chordata; Mammalia; Carnivora; Felidae
Exons: 2
Source: RefSeq, a predicted model, not a curated record
AAUGCAUUCAGAAUUGUGCCUGUCCUUCUUACCUUGCUUUCUGUCACCCACAUUUUCCUUUCUGUCCUAAGUGCUUGUCACACAUUGUGUCAUGUAUUUGGGGUGGAAGAGGGAAGGUAUCAGCAAUAAUAACAUUGAUGUCUGGAUCUGCUUGGGAUCCAUUUACAUUGGCGCAUGGGUUUCAGUCCCAUCACGUUGUCUUGUCAUCCAGGAAUUAGGUCAUUUUUGUUCAGGACCACACAUGGGUCAAGAAUGUGUAGGGAAAAAAUCAAUGAUCUUGCUGCAGAAACCACAGAAAUUUAUUUCUGGGAAGUGGGUAGGGGUCCCAGUAGUACUGGAUCCCUGCAUCAGUUCUGCUAGUGAGAUUGUUCACAGCAGGCCAAUCCCUAAGGAAGCUGAGUUAUUUCCUGUCCCCCGAUUUUUUAAGUGCAACUCCUCUGAGUCUUGACCAAAGCCCGCAGCUUCACUAGGGCUCAUCUUUGCUGGCUGCCUCUGAACUACACAUGUUUCCUUCUAAGUCCGUGCGAAUAAAGUUGUUCAGCUAUUUUGCAGUUCAGUUGUCUGUCCCCAAGUUCAUUGAUGAGUCCUAGGGAGAUUGGUUCCCACUGCCAGGCUGGCUUUGUCCUGGGCUUCCUUCUUCUCCAUCUUGGUCACAUGUGUCUUCAUGGGGUCAUUAGAAAUGUGGUGCAUUUGCUAACAUGUUUCCUCCUUUGUACAGUAUUUCCUUUUGUUCUCACGAGGAGAUCAGGGCCUUUAGAGUCCCUCAUUCACAUUGAAAAGGAAAUACUUCCUUCUCUUCCCUGGAGACUCAGCUUCUGUUAGUCCUUCCCACACCUGGGGUGGAGCCUGCUCUGUCUCACUGGCAUCUUGUUUUUAUCAUUUCUAAGCUCUUUUGGGGAGCACGUACAGCACCCUGGCCACCUUUCUAUUUUCAAUCCCUUACAACAGAACCACUACAUUCCAGCCACUCCAGAAAGCAUUUGUUGAAGGACUGCCUGAGAUGCCGGAAGGCAAUGCAUGUGCCUUUCUCGGUCUAGAGGUUUUGUGUCAGUUUCUAGGAGUCUUUCAGUUUUGCAUGUGACUCUUGAAUACAUCCAGUGCCAAGUUGAAACCCUUUAAAGCAACACCAUGAACAAAAUAGUCUGAGGGCAACACAGCAAACCAGCCUUUCUAAGCAUUUCCCAUUGCUGCCUUCACUGUCAAUGAACUGAGUCUUGUUCAAGUAGACUGGCUCCAUGAAGUUGAUAGUUUUCCAUCUGAAAUCUGUUUCCUGGAGAUAAACCCAGACUGUGUGACAGUUCAUAUCAGGUUCUACUUCAGGAGAUGUUGCUGCUCUAAGAUUGGCCUUUUCCUCCACCAGGAUAUGUGAAGGUGGACGCAGGGGUUGUACUCCUGACGCUAGCGAUGUCUGGGAGUGAGCUGCAAUGUUGGGGAAGCCAUAUCCUGGAAGGUCGUCUUUCAGGGUGAUUGUCUGUGUCAGGGUACAACUUCUGGACUGAGAAUCAGGGCUCCCCAUGGAGGUGUGAGACUAGUGAUGAUCCCUUGCUUCAUCCUAAUGGGUAUGGGUGGUCACCCAAGGUUUUUGACACUGAACUGAAAUGAGCCUUCACCAUUUCAAACAAAAGACCAGCUCUGGGAAGGCACAAAGUGCAAUGUUAUUUGAUGACUUUAUGAUGAAGGAGAGGACACAGGUCUCAGAGCAGAGACAUGGCAGCAGACAGAGGUUGAAUUUUCUUUAACUUAAAUGGGGUGUUCAGUUCAUUUCUCUGACUGUGUUGUCAGUCUGUGCAUUUAUGGGCGAGGUGGGAGAAGGGAUAUUUGCAUCUAGGCCUUCAAGAGUGCUGGGAGGUAAAAAGGCAGAAUUUGUGGACCUUGGCUCCUGGACUGUGUAUAUGUCUUUCCCAUCUUAGGAAGCUGAAAAUGACACAGUGUGAACUGGCAGCAAAGAAGAAUCAGCUGGCAGCUGCAGGGAAAAUGUGAAAAUAGCUAUGAAAGAAAUAAACAAGUACAAGCAACAAAAUGGACAAAGACAAGAACAGCUGCAGCAGACAGAACUCACCUUCAGACACCAGGGACCCUGAGCUCUGCCUGACAUAUUGAACCCUUAGUACCUCAUGUGGGUGAGUGUAGUGGUCCUUGGAAUUCCUAAACACGGACUUUUCAUUGUUGCUUUUUCAGAUCGCAGUUCAUAAGAAUAAUGCUCAGGACAACUGGGUAAGUGUUUCCUUUUUUCCUCCUCUCCCUCUUUGGUGCACAGUCUGGCAUGACUGAAGGUGGAUGUGUUUUUCUCCCCCAGAUCAAGCCUCGGAUCUGGGAAAGGGAAAUGGCAGAGCAGAGCCGGGAGGUCACCCGCUUGAAACACAGGUGUGGGAGCGUGACAUGAGUUUUUAUGGGUGUUUUGAGGGAUGACAGCUGUGCUGUUUAGUGUCUAGUCAGAGGACGUGGCAUUGCAACUCUUACGGAAGUCCAUUCUUUUUCUGUAUCCAAGACAGGAUGGGAUGGAAGGAAAGAGGCUGCUUGAGGGAUACAGGAGGCGGAGACCAAUGCCUGGAAGUCCAGAGACGCAGAACCCUCCGAGGAGAG